CAUGCAGGCGGGUCGUUAAGUUAGGGGUGAAAUCCCGAGGCUCAACCUCGGAACUGCCUCUAAUACUGGCGAUCUUGAGUCCGGGAGAGGUGAGUGGAACUGCGAGUGUAGAGGUGAAAUUCGUAGAUAUUCGCAAGAACACCAGUGGCGAAGGCGGCUCACUGGCCCGGUACUGACGCUCAGGUGCGAAAGCGUGGGGAGCAAACA
Molecule: ribosomal RNA, 207 nt
Filed under: uncultured bacterium
Lineage: Bacteria
Description: partial 16S ribosomal RNA
Rfam family: Bacterial small subunit ribosomal RNA
Source: RNAcentral